UACGGGGGGAGCAAGCGUUGUUCGGAUUUACUGGGCGUAAAGGGCGCGUAGGCGGCCACUGCAAGUCAGUUGUGAAAUCUCCGGGCUUAACCCGGAAAGGUCAACUGAUACUGCAGGGCUAGAGUGCAGAAGGGGCAACUGGAAUUCUCGGUGUAGCGGUGAAAUGCGUAGAUAUCAGGAGGAACACCGAUGGCGAAGGCAGGUCUCUGGGCUGACACUGACGCUCAUGCACGAAAGCGUGGGGAGCAAACAGG
RNAcentral lists this ribosomal RNA (254 nucleotides) under uncultured bacterium. Its description in RNAcentral is "partial 16S ribosomal RNA". It matches the Rfam family "Bacterial small subunit ribosomal RNA", at positions 524 to 776 of the family's 1533-position model. The record is from RNAcentral.